UGAAGUGUCUGGCAUGCCAGAAAUGGAUUGC
RNAcentral lists this non-coding RNA (31 nucleotides) under Mus musculus (house mouse). Lineage: Eukaryota; Metazoa; Chordata; Mammalia; Rodentia; Muridae. The record is from RNAcentral.